Molecule: ribosomal RNA, 468 nt
Filed under: uncultured bacterium
Lineage: Bacteria
Description: partial 16S ribosomal RNA
Rfam family: Bacterial small subunit ribosomal RNA
Source: RNAcentral
GAUGAACGCUGGCGGCGUGCUUAACACAUGCAAGUCGAACGGAAAGGCCCAAACUUGCUUGGGUACUCGAGUGGCGAACGGGUGAGUAACACGUGGGUGAUCUGCCCUGCACUUCGGGAUAAGCCUGGGAAACUGGGUCUAAUACCGGAUAGGACCACUUCUUGGAUGUUGUGGUGGAAAGUUUUCUCGUUGUGGGAUGAGCUCGCGGCGUAUCAGCUUGUUGUUGGGGUAGUGGCCUACCAAGGCGUCGACGGGUAGCCGGCCUGAGAGGGUGUAGGGCCACAUUGGGACUGUGAUACAGGCCAGAGUCCGGAGGGAGGCAGCAGUGGGGAAUAUUGGACAAUGGGCGCAAGCGUGAGGCAGCGAGGCCGCGUGGGGGAUGACGGCCUUCGGGUUGUAAACUCCUUUCGCUAGGGAAGAAGCGUUUUUGUGACGGUACCUGGAGAAGAAGCACCGGCUAACUACGUG